Molecule: long non-coding RNA, 9979 nt
Filed under: Triticum aestivum (bread wheat)
Lineage: Eukaryota; Viridiplantae; Streptophyta; Magnoliopsida; Poales; Poaceae
Description: long non-coding RNA (TAES_LNC028560)
Source: RNAcentral
AACUCCCUCGCCAUCUCAUCCCCACCAAAGCAUUCGACAAAAUUCAACCAGCAAUCCAACGCAAGACCAACCCGAGGAGAUCGACCGAGCUCAAGAUCCGCGAGCGAGAAUGGCGGGCAUGGUGUUCGGCUUGGAGAACCCGAUGAUGACGGCGCUGCAGCACCUGCUGGACAUCCCGGACGGCGAGGCCGGCAACACCGCCGGCGGCGAGAAGCAGGGCCCGACGCGCGCCUACGUCCGGGACGCGCGCGCCAUGGCGGCCACCCCGGCCGACGUUAAGGAGCUGCCGGGCGCGUACGCGUUCGUGGUGGACAUGCCGGGGCUGGGGUCCGGCGACAUCAAGGUGCAGGUGGAGGACGAGCGGGUGCUGGUGAUCAGCGGCGAGCGCAGGAGGGAGGAGAAGGAGGAAGCCAAGUACAUGCGGAUGGAGCGCCGCAUGGGGAAGCUGAUGCGCAAGUUCGUGCUGCCAGAGAACGCCGACAUGGAGAAGAUCUCCGCCGCGUGCCGCGACGGCGUGCUCACCGUCACCGUCGAGAAGCUGCCGCCGCCCGAGCCGAAGAAGCCCAAGACCAUCCAGGUCCAGGUCGCCUGAGCUGAGAUGCAUGGUGUGCGGGUCGAAUCGAAGCAGAGUGUGAGUGAGUAGCGAGUUUCCUGUGAUGAGUAAUGGAUGGUUUGCUGUUUCGUUAAUGGAAAUGGGGAAUUGGGGAUGUUCUCUGGUUUCGCCUGAAUAAAACAUGCGAUUCUCUCGGCCACAUUUUCGAUUGAAAAAUCCAAGAUACCCGUGUUCAGAAAAUUCAGAAACAUGUAAUUCAGGAAAACUGGAUAAGACCACAACAUGUGGAAUAGCAAAAAUUAGGUGGAAAACGAACUAGCUCUGACACCAGGGAGAAAAAUCCUGGAUGUCUUGCAUUUUCAUCUUGACAAAUGGCUGCCUGGGAAGAUAGAAAAAAUAAAUUCUAAUUAGAAUUAAGAAUUCAGAAAUGUUAUUCUGCUUUGCGUGAAAGAAACAUGUGACAAUCUUUUUUUCUUGCACAAGAAACAUGUGAGAAUCUCCAAAUUCGAUUAAUCGAGGUAUGAGGAUAUGUGAGAUAACCGAUUCAGUGUAUUAUGAACUGAUUUUCAAAUACAUUUAUUUUGACACAACGAAAAAUAAAGCAGCCAUGAUUGUGUGGGGGCUAAAAGAGUGAUGUGUUAUAUGCACAAACUUCUUUAUCUUGACAGAACUUGGGAAAUGCCGUGGUACUCUCGGGUGUGAGUACAUAUGUGGGAGGUAAUUCCAAACAAAAACAUAAAAAAUCUGAAACAUUUUCAAAAACAAAUUUGACCUUCUGUUAUGCCAAGAAAAAAAAAGGUCCCGUCAACUUCGGAAAAUAAAAAUCAGACGACGAAAAACGUGAAUAAUAACUUGUAUAUAUUGUUGAUCUUUUUCACCGAAAAUAUUGUGAAAGUCAUUUCCCGUGAAAGCAAUUUCUUGGCCAAAGUUUUUAUACAAAUACAACGAGAGUAGGACAUUUUGGAGACCAAAUCCAAUAGAGGCCUUAGUUAAAAAAACAUUUUUUAAUUUAAAAAACUAAAAAAUCAGUAUGCUUGUAUACAAGGAGUCAAGGAUAUAAUGUGUAUGUGUGUAAAAAUAUAGGAUGAUAUACCUUAAAAUUUGAGCUUCACAAAAAAGGUGACGGCCUUUGAGGAUCAACAAUACAUAUGCUAAAAAUGCACAAAAUUGUCUUUUUUGUAGCCAUCAUAUUUGACCAGAAAAUUAACACAAAUGUAUAUUAUGUCUCUAGGUAUAUGUGUAUUUUUUCAGAAUUUUUUAAAGCUGGAAAGUUUGAAUUUCAAAGUUUUCAAAUUAAGACCUCCAUGGAGCUCGGGCUCCAUUUGAAAUUUUCAUACAACAGAAGGUCAACUUUGUUUACCAAAAUGUUUUGUCUUUUUUGACUCUUUUUGGAAUUACUAAAAAAAUAUCAUAUCAGGUGCACUUGCACCCCAGAGCUGGGACAAGCACCUUUGGCUCUCGGGUGUAGGUGCACCCUAUAUGGGAAGAAAAAUAGCAAUUUUGAAAAAAGUGAUAAAUUAGGAAACUUUUUGUUAAUGAAUGACUUUCAUUCUAUUCUAGGUGGAAAAAUCAGCACUAUAUACAAGCUAAUAUUCAUGCUUUUGUCCUUGAUUUUUCUUUGCACUAAAGGCGACGGGAGUUUUUUCUUAAUGAAACUUUUUAAACAAGUACAAUUGAACGUCAACUUUGUUUCUAAAAAUAUUUAAGAGCUUUUUGACCUUUCCUGGCCCCAUAUAGGUUGCACCUACACCCAAGAGCCAAAAGGUAUUUCUUCGGAUUGAAAAUGAUAUUUACAGAAUUAAAGAGUUAAUGCGUGUCUGAGCGAGCUUUUGCUAGGGCAGUCCAAUAUGAUGGUGACUAAUGGGUUUUUUCACCACUCCCCACAAAAGGUGUAAUUAGAGCUUAGCCUCAAACUAUGUUACCUUUUUUUCUCUGCUAAUAGAAACAAGAGUGGUCCUCGCAGUUUGGAAACAAGAAUGGUCUUAUUAAUAGCAAGGUGUACCUUAAGAAAAUUGUUUUAAUUCAUUUAUCUUUUCUUAGUGGACGUGAAAUCUUUUCGUGGCCUUUUUCCUGAAUGGCUUUAUUUGAUUUAAUCCCUUUUGCAUAAAAUGUAUAACUCUAUAGUUUUGUGUGCGUCCCAAGCCGAAGGAUGUAAUGAGGGAUUUGGUAAUUUGACAUCUCCCCAAAAGGGCAGAAGUUGUACAAUUUGUGAAAAAACAAAAAAUCACCUAGAGAGGUAUGGUGUGAUAGCUUCCUUGUAUGCUCUUUUUUCUUGGUUCUUGUUUGUAAUCUCCUAUUUCUAUAUGAAACUGUUGGUUCAUAAUCAACCCUUGGAAAAGUCAACAUCCUGAUCUACGAAUUUUAUAGCGAGGGUGUCAUUAAAUUCUUUUGAGACCCUUCCCCUAUAGAAGUGAAGUUAUUUCGUGUAAUUAUAAUUGUGUUUGCUAUUUAUCAGCUGACUGGAAUUUUCAGCCACGUCAGUCAACAUGUGACUGAGAAGUAGGUGAGACGACGCUAAGGCCGAGAUGGAGGUGACACUGCCUGUCGCGGUGUCUCCAAGAUGUAGAGCCAGGUCCUAGACGGAGGCAGGGACGACGCAAGUUGUCAUGGCAUCGUCGACGGAGGACAUGUAGGAUGCUGCGAGUUGUGGGGUUCGGGUGGAGGUGGGUUAGAGGAAUGACCGGCGACGGUGGCGGCGGCUCGGGCUGAUAAGGGCGGUGAGGCUGCAGUGUGGGCGUUCAUGUGUGAUGGCAUUGGGCAUGGAGGAAGAAAAAAGGUUACGGGCCUGUUGGAUGCAUAUCGAACAGUGGAGGGAAAACUGACCGAAGAGAAACCUUUUCGAGCCUGAAAUAGUCGUUCUCAAUUGUAACCUUUGAAACUUGGCACGGUAUUGAAGAACCAGAGUUGCAUGUGUGUUGUAUGACUAAGGCCUUUGUGGCAAUUUUAAGGCCUUUGUUUACUCUAUCUUGAAGACCUUUGUUCUACACGUCUUCGUAUGGAUUUUGAAGAAAUAGAGUUCCAUUGUAUGACAUGUGAAAAAGAAAAGGUGCACAUGAUGAGAUAGAAUCGCACUAUGUUUUUUUUAUCGUGGUCCUUAAACCUACAUCCAAGAUAUACAUAUCUAUUCCCUCCGUUCUAAAAUAGAUGACUCAACUUUGUACCAACUUUAGUACAAAGUUGGGUUAUCUAUUUUGAAACGGAGGGAGUAUGUGGUAAUUCAGAAAUUCAAUUCAGCUCCAAGGAGCACGUGCUCCCGGGCCCAAAAUAAUUUUUGAAAUGUCAAAUAAGUGAAGACAAGAAAUUUAUGUGUUCUUAGUCACAUCCAAAUGCUACCUGUAAAUUUUCAGGGCAAAAGGUUAAGCAAAUUGAACACCAAAUGUUACGCCUAUGUCACCCCAAAUUUGUUUUCCCCGUUUCGCAUGAAAAUUGUCAAGUAUGCUUGCGACACUAACACGAACAUCCAUAAAAAAAAUUCAGAAUUUUUUGAAAACAUUUACUAUUUUUUCACAUUACUGUUCAUCUAAGGGCACAUGCUCCCGGGAGCCAAAACGCCUCUCCCCACCAAACCUUCUCUUCUAUCUGUAAGUAGCUGCUACCUCCAUUUCAAAAUAUAAGAAAUAUAAGACAUUUUGGUAGGCUAGUUUAACCUACCAAAAUGAGGUAGUACUAGGUAGUAUAAUUAUUUGUGUAUCACUACAUUGUCCAAAUCAUCACAUUAUUAUUGCUAAGUCUCAAUCGACUGAGACAUAAGUCUCAGUCGAUGCUAUAUUCAUUCGAUCUUGCGUGAAGAUUUAUGCAAAAAAAAAAAGCUUUUUCUUGUUUCUUCUUAUAUUCUAUGUUACUUCUUAGUCACCUGAUAUCUAGCCACACCCACAUGAUUAUUGUUCUGAACACGUGUGUGGCGCACAAGCAACAUUUACUACUUCCUUCGUUCUAUGAUGUAAGCCUUUUUUUUAAAAAAUGUCUUACAUUAUUACAUCAUGGAACAGAGAAGUAGUUCCGUAGUUCUGUACUAGCUUACCCCUGUGCGGCGGCACGCCGCGCCCGUCGAUACGGUGCGGUUAUAUGGAUUAUGUUUCUUCUAUGUAAUAAGUGUUGUUAUUUUAGGAUGCCAGAUGAUCACAUGAAAAACUAUGGAUGUAGGGAAAAAAAGAUGGAAGGGUGAUGCAUGUGAACAAAGAGGGGAAUAUACGAUGACACAUCUCUUGUAGGGAUGAUUUAUUUUGCCGAACGUGGUGCGAGUCAUUGCCAGAUUAGAUCAUCUGAUGUAGCCUCCCAUUGGAUUAGCUCCUAUGAUAAAGUAGUAAAGAGACGCAAAUAGUCAGACGUAUGUAGUUAAUAAUUUUUUCCUUCUUUCAUACAUUUUUUUACUAUCACCAAGAAAUGACCGAGGCCAAUCUCGUGCACCAUCGCCGACUACUCCAGGGAAGCGAUCGUGUCCAGCGACGCCAGGGACACGUCGCCGGCGGUCACCCAUGCCUUUGAGGCGUCCAAGUGGAACCAGCUCGCUGGCGUGCCCGUCGACCGUCGAACACCUCGCUGUCCCGUGCUGGACGUCGACAAUCUCCACAUGGUAGCGACAAUGAUGCAGUUUCUCGCUCGGCGGAGUAGCAGCGACGGAGGCUGGAUGCAGCUCCUCCCCAGCAAGCCCGGAGGUGCAGCGUGGGGAGAGCCCGCGGGAAGCCACUCUGAACCUUGGAGCGCGGCUCCACAACUCGCGAUGUCCGAGCUUGCUCCGUACUGCACGUCGAAGAAAGGAGGGGCCUAGGAGGGAGGGGCAUGCCCGACGAGGCGGUAAACGAAGCUCCUUUCCAUCCCACACGAGAGAAUCGGAGAGAGGCUCGAUGUUUUGCGCUGAUGCUAUUUCUCGGUGGUACUUCGGUCGAGAUGCGAAAGCGAGUGAUGACCACAGAGAAGAGGAAGGAGAUAUUUAUAGAUGCUUAUGGCGGUGGACGAUUCAACCGGAAUCUUCCGGAAAACACCUCGAUCAUCAUGGGCGGUAAACCGUAGAGGCAUCCAGAAGAAGAAGAGAUAAGGAAGGAGAAGUAAGCAGUGAGGCAGAUAAGAAAGCAACGAAAGCGGUGGAUUGGAUGGGAUGCAUGUAGCGCACAUGCGAGGGAGACAGAAGGAAUGUCCCGUAUCUAGCCUAGAAUCGCGCCCGAGCGGUGCGGUGGCUGUCUUGGCCAUAUCCCUCUGUCGUCUUGUAAUUGGUUGUAGUUGCCCAUCCCGCUGCCUGCUCAUGUGCCUUGUAACUGGACGUAGUUACCCAUCCCCCGAUCACCGCUUCGUCAGACUGCUAUAGGUCGGCCGCAUAUCCAAGCAAUGUGUUCCGAUUGGUCUGCAUGCAUGCGGUGACUAAUUUGCCAACGUUCCUUUGCUAAGCAUCGAUUUGCUUGUUUCUUAUCUGUUCCCGACGACGAAAGCAAAACUAAAAACCAACACGCCACAUGGCCGACUUAAUUACAACAUAAACGGCUAGAAGCAAACGUCAGUAAAGCAAGCACGUUCAAAAAAUUUAGCCGAUGCAUAUACGCCCACACAUGCAUUUGUACACAGCCACAUACCCAAAAAAAAUGCACGUGUCAACAGCCCAAACGCCAAUAGGUUGCUUUCAAGAUCAAACAAUUAUCUGAACCAAAAUCGCUAAAGACACCCAAAUGCACACGGAAAAUGCGAACCAGUUAACAAAAUUUUCAUCGAAGGCCAACGGCCAUCGCGUGAUUCUACAAGGUAAUCCACCAAAAUAAUACACGUGUUGCCAUCCAGCUGAUCAAGAAGUCACUUUCACAUAAGUGGGUAAAAAACCUGGAGGCAAAAACUUUUCGAGAUAUAGUGGUUUUGGUAUAAAAGCCUUUGCCCCUAAAAAAAUAUAUGUAUGCACUUUUUUCACAACGAAAAUCUCUCUAUGCGUAUCCUAGUCCUAGAAAAAGACAUCUCUCUGCUGCACCGAAUGACAUGUGGGCCCAAGGCUACUGCACAACCAAUUCUGAAGGUCGAACCUCUAGGGACGUGUUUGGUUGCCCGCAUGAGGCCCAGCCUGGCCCGGGCGGGAAGAAUUUGGCCCGUUUGGUUUUCUGCAUUCACUGUGCGGCCCGCAUCGCACGAAGCUUAAAGCACGUCCAGGCCAGGCCCAGGGGCAACGCACGAAUCGGCAGUAGCUCGCGAGCCUGGCCAGGACGAGGCAGGGGAGGGCGACGCGCUUCUCCCCUCGUGCGAGCAGGGGAGAUGGCGCGAGCUCGCCCGCGUCGCCGAAAAAUCGGCGGGAGGAUUUCGGCUCACCUCCCGCCGCUCCACCCCCUAUUUAGCCCCUCCCUCACCGCCCCAACUCCCGCCGCCAUUCUUCCUCCGUUCGCGCUUUCCCGCCGACGCGCAUCGGCACCGACGAGCAGGUAAGCGGCGCAUCUUCAUCGGCCGGCUGUCCACGGCGUCGGAGCUCCUUCGCCGGCCGACGUUCAUCUUCCACCACCGUCCCCCCUCGUCCUCAAGCUGCAGCCAUGGCCUCUGUGAAUUCAAUCCCCCUUUCUCUCUGUUCCUUCUAGCUAGAUCUGAGCUGCAGCUAGGGUUUGAUCUAGAUGCAUGGUUGAUUAGUGGUCUGAUCUGUGAGCUGAUAUGGUUGGUUGCUAUGAUGCGGUUACAAUUUGUGGUAGGGCUAGAUGUUCAAGCAUGUGGUAGGCUAGAUUAGUAGUAGAGUUUGAAGUUGAACCUUGUGCUUGUGUUGAAUCAUGCUCAGAUCUGUGAUUUGUAGCUAUUGGUGGUCCAUUUGUAGCAUGCUGUUUGUUUUAGAUGUAUGUUCCUGCUCAUAGAUUGUCUAGUAUGCUUAGUAUGAUAGUGAUGAAGCAUGUGCUUGCUAUGAUAGUGAUGAACCAUGUACAUGUAUGCUCCUGCUUUCAUGGAUUGUCCGGUAUGUUGUGUGCUAUGCUCACUGUUAAUGUGUGCUACGAUUGUAGGACAUGACCACGCAGACGCAAGAUCUUAGUCAGGUCCUUGUCGUGUCCGACAGCCAGUUUGCUCCAUCGUUUGUCGAGGACUCGCAGCCUAUGUCCGAGAUGGCACCUGAUUCAGAGGUGUUCGAGUCUGAUUCCCUCUAUGUGCCAGUAGUGCUCGUUGAGCCAACUACUGUUGCUGCUGCUGCUGCUGCUGCCGCUGCACUCAAGCUAGCAGCAGCAAAGGCAAAGAAGGAUAGUAGGUCGAACAACAUGAAGUGGCAGCCGUUCAUGUCCACGUUCGUGCUGAACAAGAUGUGUGAGCUCAUCUCUAGUGGAGUUAGGACUGACAAGGGCUUCAAGGAGGUGCACUUGAACACCGUUGCGAAGCAGGUGUUCGAGUUCUGUGGGCAAGAGGUGUCUGCCACCCAGGUGUACAACCACCUGAGGAAGUGGAGAAGUCGAUGGAUCCAAGUGUCCAAGCUGAGAGACCUUAGCGGUGCCUCAUGGGAUGAGAACACUUGCUCCAUAGUUCUGGAGGCAGAGCACUACGCCGGCCAUGUCGCGGUUAGCUCACAACCCUCUUCAUUUUCAUACUGUCCACCAUUACCUACUCCUAAUCGCAACUAACAACACUUGUGUUUCAUUCUUAGGACCACCCAAGGGACGCUGAGUUCCUCAACACACUCAUCCAGAACUACAACCAGAUGCAGCACAUCUUCUCCUUCAGGGCUGGCAACUGGGAAGCAUGCCAUGGGCUCGGGGGAGCCUCUUGGUUCUCCCAUGCCUAACUUCCCUGGGACCCCGGACGUCGAGAUCCUUGAUGGCCCUGACAAGCCCCCUGCGAAGCCCUUCGACAAGCCAUUUGACCCCGUUGAUAGGAAGAGGAAGAGAGGAGGCCUGAUGGAGGAGGAGAUCAAUGUCUUCUGCAGCAUGACUGGGGCGGUGAAGGAGGUGGCAACAGCCACCAGGGAGUGCAAGCCCCUCGACGUCCACCCUGACCUGUAUGCCGCUGUCAUGACCCAGGGUGGCUUCAGCGACGAGGCUCUCAUGGCAGCUCUCAGCCACCUGCUUGACAACAAGGCCCAGGGUGUUGGGUACGUUGCCAUGGCCGACGCUCACAGGGUGCUGUGGCUCAGGAGCUGGCUGGGCAAGCACUACUACUAGAGUAGUGCUGCCUGUGAGCGUGCAUGAUCCCCGACGGCGAUGGUGGUGGCGACGACGACGACGGUGACGGUGAUGAUGACGACGUACAUUUUGUGUAGCUAGGGCUCAAAAACUAUUUGAUGGUCUGUAUAUUUUGGUGAGGUGGUAUAUACUAACCCCUCACGGUGACGGUGAACUUGCGGUGGUAGGACGACACCCUCUUUUGGAUGUGGUGGUAGGUUAACACCAAGGUGGUGCUAGGAAGAACUUGCUAUGCCGUAUGAUCAUGCAUGCAUGCUUUACUUCUCUUCUGCUCCAUUGUUGUUUGUGUGCUACUUUGCUUGCUACUUGUGCUCCAUUGAUUUGCUGCUUCAACUCUUGCUGUUGUGCAUUGCUAGGGCAAGUGGUAUGCCGUGUUCAUUGGUGAGAUUCCAGGGGUUUAUAGUUCAUGGGAAGAAGCCAAUGCACAAGUGCCAUCGUAUAGCAACAGCAAUUAUAGAGGGUUCAAGACUAAGCAGGCAGCAGAACAAGCUUACUCCGCCUGGGUGCGAAAGGACGGAGGCAGCAGUGUCGACAGUGCCAAGGUUGGAGUUGUCAAAGUGGAAGCUGCUAAAGUGGAUCGUCAGUUCGGCCUGAAGCUGAAGAACUUCAUCAUCUUCGCCCAGUUCGUCACCAUUACUGUGUUGUGGCGUUGGUGUGCUAGGUAUGGGUAAGCUCACCAACUAGGAUACAAGGUAAGCACAACAUAUACGCCGUAUGCAACCAAACGCCAUGUUCAUGUGCCGCUAGGGCCAAUGCAGCCAACCAGACAAAGUGCACUUGCGUAUUACCUAAUGCAGGGACUAGGAUGCACGCAACCAAUCAAAUUGUAUAUGGCGUAUUAGGACCUGUUUUUUCUUAACCAGAUUGGAUUGAGAAGGGCAUGCAACACGACUGCUAUUCCAAACUGGAACCAAACACGCCUUAGAACUUUCUCCAUCGGUGCCCGAAAGACUCCCCACUGCUUCGCACUCGUUCCACCACCUUUCAGAAGUUUCCAUCACCUUCCAGACUCCCCGCCCUCCCUCCUCCUCGCCAUCGCAUCCCCACCAAAGCAUUCCACAAAAUUCAACAAGCAAUCCAACCCGAGGAGAUCGAUCGAACGAGAAUGGCGGGCAUAGUGUUCGGCUUGGAGAACCCGAUGAUGACCGCCCUGCAGCACCUGCUGGACAUCCCGGACGGCGAGGCCGGCAACACCGCCGGCGGCGAGAAGCAGGGCCCGACGCGCGCCUACGUCCGGGACGCGCGCGCCAUGGCGGCCACCCCCGCCGACGUGAAGGAGCUGCCGGGCGCGUACGCGUUCGUGGUGGACAUGCCG